CCUACGGGAGGCAGCAGUAGGGAAUCUUCCGCAAUGGACGAAAGUCUGACGGAGCAACGCCGCGUGAGCGAAGAAGGCCUUCGGGUCGUAAAGCUCUGUUGUUAGGGAAGAACAAGUACGAGAGUAACUGCUCGUACCUUGACGGUACCUGACCAGAAAGCCACGGCUAGCUACGUGCCAGCAGCCGCGGUAAU
RNAcentral lists this ribosomal RNA (194 nucleotides) under uncultured bacterium. RNAcentral's name for it is "partial 16S ribosomal RNA". It matches the Rfam family "Bacterial small subunit ribosomal RNA", at positions 338 to 524 of the family's 1533-position model. The record is from RNAcentral.